AGAGUUUGAUCAUGGCUCAGAAUGAACGCUAGCGGCGUGCUUAACACAUGCAAGUCGUACGAGAACUCUUUAGCUUGCUAAAGAUAGUAAAGUGGCGCACGGGUGAGUAACGCGUGGGUAAUUUACCUCUGAAUUUGGGAUAACUCCGCGAAAGCGGGGCUAAUACCGGAUAAUAUUUCAGGAUCUUCGGGUUUUGAAAUCAAAAGUGGUCUCUACAUGUAAGCUACUGUUUGGAGAUGAGCCCGCGUACCAUUAGCUUGUUGGUAGGGUAAUGGCCUACCAAGGCUACGAUGGUUAGCUGGUCUGAGAGGAUGAUCAGCCACACUGGAACUGACACACGGUCCAGACUCCUACGGGAGGCAGC
Molecule: ribosomal RNA, 364 nt
Filed under: uncultured bacterium
Lineage: Bacteria
Description: bacterial SSU rRNA
Rfam family: Bacterial small subunit ribosomal RNA
Source: RNAcentral